AUGGAAACCAGAUGGCACUUUCCUUGAGUCUGCUUUGUUCUCCUUUAGCAGGCUCCUUACAAAAGCUGCCCAGAAGAGGCUGCUCCAGGCCGACUCAGCAUGAGAAAACAGCAGAAUCCAGCCAUCUAAGAAGGAUUUCUCAGGUUUCUUGGCUGUCUUGGACUCACUUUGUAGACCAGGCUGGCCUUGAGCUCACAGCGAUCUGCUUGCCUCCACCUCCCUGAGUGCUGGCACACACAACCUCGCAGAAUCACAGACAACAGGUGGAAAGGAAUUAAUGAGGAGACGAGAAAGCAAAGCACGAAGUCCAGCCAUGCCUGCGAGGCUCCGCUGUGGAUGAAUGGAUGGUGCAGGUCGCGUCGUUGAAGUAGAGAAUUUUCUUUCAGAAAUUUAAUCACCUGGGGUGGAGGCCAGUUGAAGGCGGUUUGAAGCCAAGCUCCAGCUAGACCCGUUUUGUUCCUGGGUCUCCUAGCCAGGGAAAAUAGAGGACACAGAACAUGAUGAUAUACUGUCACCCCUCAGGGGCAACACAUACUAUUUGAGCCGUUCGUGCGCUACCAGGAAAUGCCUGCCGCUAAGGAGGAUUAGGCCAAGGUUGCCCAGAGGGCAUGAGUUCAUGGACUCUGCUUCCCUUGGGUCCCUGCGCAGUGAAUGGCUGUCGGAUCAUUUCCUGAAGCUUGCCUAGAGGUGGAAGAAGAGAUUUGCCUGCAAGCUGGCUGAGGUCCUAGCUGUCAUUAGAGGGAUGUCCUGCACCCUUCUCCAAGCCGUUCCGGGUGGGCGGACGCGACCUUGUCCUUUUUGGCAGCACAGGGCUCCGGCUCUCAUGUGCAGGGAAAUCCGCUGCCCAGCUGCCAGCAGGCGGAGGUGACGGAAAAGGAGGAGCGCCACCUAGUGUCGGUUCCAAGCACAACCAAAGGCAUCCGGACUCUAACCCUCUUCGCAAGGAAGAGCAGUCAGUGUUGGAACAAACACACCUCUGCCUUCUCGCAAUGAAGAGCACUACCCGCACCCCACCUCCCCCCGAACCCCAAAAAUAUCUAAAGAUGCUGAGAUGUGGGGAAAUGACACUGUGUGACUAAAUGGAACCAGCAACCAAGGAGAAACAAGUCGUCUUAAGACCUUGCCGAGAAACGGAGCUCACCGCGGGUGGGCCCGCGCACUGAGUCCUGCGCAUGCAUAGCUUUUGGGCAUUUGUUUGCGUGACUGACCAGCCACAUCGCUUCUCACACGCUAAACAUUGGUAUAUCUUGUCCAACUGUGGGCAAAGGGGGAUGCAGACGCAGCCAUGCAGUUCUGCUAGUACGGAGACUAAAGCUAGAGAACCGCAGACUGAGACCUGCCUGGGUGGAACUCCAAGUUCAAGGCCAGCCAGCCGGGGUAACCCCGUGAGACGCUACUCAAAACAAAAAGUGAAGAAAGGGAUGAAUUCAGUGUGGCACGAUGGGCCAGCGUACACAAGGCCUAAGUCCGGUCUCUCUGGAGUGAUGUGUGUGUGUGUGUGUGUGUGUGUUAGAGUGAGCAAUGCAUACAAGUCUGUGAGACACAGACUUGAUUCUGUUGUCCUUGUGCUCUUUCGGUAGUGACACUCCUUGGUGGUUUGAGUGCCGUUUCCUCCUUUGCGAUUGCCAGCCUAUUUCCAUGUGUUUCCCGUGUGGACAUUCCCCUUUGCUGCUCGUUUAAUAAGAUCUUGUCCUUUCCUUAAAGUCUGUGUGCGACACCCUGCAGAUAAGACACCUUUAUCAAUAUGUACUUGUGUGAGCUCCCUCCGCUCCUGGCUUACUGUUUCAGUCUCUCAAUGAUGUCUGGGUGAAGAGAGGUUUCUAACGGAAUGUUUUUAGAUUAAUCUCUCAGUACUUGACAUUUCAUGAUUCUGUAAGUGUUCUUUGGGGUGGGGGGGGGGGGAGGGAAGACUGAACAAGGUUUCUCCGUGUAGCCUUGGUUGUCCUGGACUCGCUUUGUAGACCAGGCUGGCCUUGAACUCACAGAGAUCUGCCUGCCUCUGCCUCUGCCUCUGCCUCUGCCUCUGCCUCUGCCUCUGCCUCUGCCUCUGCCUCUGCCUCUGCCUCUGCCUCUGCCUCUGCCUCUGCCUCAGUGCUGGGAUUACAGGCAUGUGCCACUACGCCUGGCUACAAGUGAUCUUUUUUUUAAAGAUAGAACUUUUAGGGCAGUUUUAGGGUUACAGGAAAAUUGAGAGAAGGAACAGAGGUUUCUUUUACAUCCCUCUCCCGGCCAUAUACACCUACAUAUACAUGCAUACACCUAUACCAACAUGCAGUGGCUGCCCCUACUGCCAAGACGUCAUUGUAAUCCCAAAUCUGUCAUGCACAUUUAUGUUUGGUGCGGUAUGUUCUAGAAGUUUUGGAAAAUGUAGUAGCAGCAUUCCCCAAGGUAGAAUAUUUUAAAUAAAUGUCAUGAAAACACACAGCACUUUCUCCGUGUUAAAGUCUUUUGUGUCUCACCCUUCCUGCUGUCUACUCCAUAGCUGUGCACAGUCCAGAAUGCCAUACAGUGAGGCUCAAACGUGGCCUGUUUCAGACAGUGUGAUGUGUCUACAUCUCUACAUACUUCCUUGGCUCGACAACUCAUCCUUUUAUAGUGCUGAAUUUUCCAUCCACUGGAUGAACUAAGUUAUUUUAGUUAGGGUUAGUAUUGCUGUGAUGAAACAUUAGAAGUGGUAUAAGGUGAAAAAGGGUUUAUUUUUCUCACAGUUCCACCUCACAGUUCAUCACCAAAAGCAGUGAGGGCAGGAAUUCACCCAGGUCAGGAACCUGGCGGCAGGAGCUGAUGCAGAGGCCCUGGAGAAAUGCUGCUUACUGGCUUGCUUCCCACACUGCUCAGCCUGCUUUCUUACAGAACUCAGGCUCCCAGCCCAGGGUUGACCUCCCCCACUAUGGACUGGGCCCUCUCCCACAUACCGUUAACUUAAAAUGCCCUUCAGACAAGUGUGAUCUUAUGGAGAGAUUUUCUCAGUUGUGGCUACCUCUUCUCCCAUGACUUUAGCUUGUGUCGAGUUGAAAUAAAACUAGGCAGUAAAACAUUUUUCCAAUUAUAUGCUAAAAAACAAACAAACAAACAAACAAACAAACACAUCACCAUUCAGCUCUCUUAGCCGAUAUAGCGAAACCUUGCUUUCAAGGUUUCCGUUUCCUGUUUUGAGGCAGGGUCCCAUCUAGUCCAGCUGACUUCAAACUCGUGCUAUAUAUGUGGUUAUUAGACUUCUAUCUAGUAUUUUAUUUUAAGCAAAUGCUAAUAUGAACAGUGUUGCAUUUCUAAUUCCAAAUUCCACUUGUUUAUUACUGGCACGUGAGAAAAUGAUUCACUCUGUGUAUUAACUUUGUAACCUACAACUUUUCUGCAGUCACUUCCAAGAGUGUUUGGUCAAUUCUUUCAGAUUGUCUACAGAAACAUUUAGUGAGCUGUAAACAAAGAGCGUCUUAUUUCUUCCUUUCCUGUCUGUGUGUCUGACUACAGCAGCAGUGUUACGUUUUAAGCCCUGGGGCUGACGGGAAGGUAGGUAGGUGCUCAGGGAAAGGUUAGGACAGUCACACCUCAGUCUCAGCAGCAGCCGCAGAAACAACUUCAGUAGCUCUAAGUUACCCCUGAAAGGUUGCUAAGAAAUACCCCCUCCCACUCCUUUAAAGAAAUAACAUUGUGGGGUGCAUGACUGUGCUUCUGGGGGAAACCAGCAAGGAGCUGGAACAAGGUCUAGACCUGUCCAAACCACAAAAAUCUCAGUCUUGAGACCAGCAGGAGUGAAGCUAUCUCCCUCCCUGUUCUGUGCCUGCAAUGCCCAGUGCACAUAGCCUAGUACCUGAAAUUCCAUGCAAAUAAAGCAUCCAUUAGCCCCAGCCAGUAAUGUGCACUCACGCUGAAAACCCUUACCCGCUUCUCCAAAGUUUAGAUAGCCGUUAUACUUCCCCAAUAAAGAGAGCAGCAUCACCAAAAGAGCUGUUUCGUUGUAUUGUCUAAGAGAGCUGUAACACUAAAAUCCUCAGAGAAGCCCACUCCCACGCCAGCCCUCACCCCUCCCUUCCCCCAAACUCCAAACUUCCAUCUAGACCGGGGCCCUGCAGACCCACUGGCCCCAGCUCAGUGCGCAGUGGUGUGUGGAUACCCCAAAAUAAGAAGCAGAUCACAGGACCACAUAAUACUAUAGGUUGCUCUGAAGAUGCCUUGGAUGGGGUUACAAUCUGAUGAGAUAAGGCCAUGGGUCACAAAGGAGGUUUCCUAAGGAGGUUAAGAUAUGCCUUUUACUGCAAAUGUGCUCCUGAUGAGAUUCCUAGAAAAUUAUAGCUCUACAGUUGGACGAAGAGAAAGGCCAUCCUCAAAGGUCAUGUACACCUGGGCUUUAAGCACAGUUCAUUGUUAUUUUAACACUCUUAUUUAAAUCAAUAUUUUCUCUCUGUGGCAACCCUCAAAGGAAAUAUUGUUAAUUAUGAUGAAAUGAGAUGCUUCGGUCAGGCAUCAAAUUGGGGGUGGGGAUUUCUUGAUUUUCUAGGUUUCUCUAUUCUGCGUUGGAAUGAUUCUGCAUCGUGUGUGUGUGUGUGUGUGUGUGUGUGUGUGUACACCACCACCUACCUGUAUCCGCUGAGAGCACAGACUGAUAAAUAACUUAUUACUACCACUAUGAAGGUACCACUAUGAAGGUCUGUACCACCUACAGACUUAGAUUGGGAACAUAUGAGCACUAGUAUACCAUAUUACAAAAGCCAGUCUGAGAACUUAUUGGCUACAUCAGACUAACACAGGCACAAAGACCCUUAGCUUAUAAUGCCAUUUACUGCAAUGCCACAGUUCUGCUUGUCAUCGAACCGCCAGCGUGGGCAUCAAGGGACAGACAGGUGGAAAGCUCUGUGCUGUCUCUAGAGCUUCAACUUAGCAUGCUACAAGGCCUCCUAGAAUCAUUUUUUGCACAUCCAUCCAUCCAUCCAUCCAUCCAUCUGUCUAUCUGACCGUACCUGGUCCUGUGCUUUGCCUCCAAGGUCCUCUGACCUCUAUGGGACGACCCUCCUGCUUCCUCUCCAAGACGCUCUCUGAGUGAAUUAAUACCUUAUUUCUUACCUCCCUUUGUGUCUGUAUGGGCUCUAUACCUUUGCUUCCAGUAGCUCUCUCUGAAUGCCCCAGCUUCUUUAACCCUUUUGUAUUGUGUGUGUGUACACAUACACAUAUAGAUACUACAUACUGCUACACACACAUACACACACAAUCACACAAUGCAAUGUACGCGUAUCCUGUGAUAUGAACAGCCAACACAGGCUACUUGGUGAAUUACAGUCAACAAAACCAAUGGAGCAUGUAUAUUUAAUGUUACUCACUAAACUCUGACAUUGUGGAAAGGCACAUACAUUUCUGUCUAUGUAAGCUAGCACUCAUUUCUCUCUCUCUCUCUCUCUCUCUCUCUCUCUCUCUCUCUUUUUCUUCUUCAAACUCUUCAUAAAAGUUUCCAGUAAACAUCAGAUCAGUAUGUCAUGUGACUGGAGUCCAAGCCUAGAGGCUGGACACUAUAGGAUGAUACAACAAAUUAGCUCUAACCACGGGGAAAUCCAUUCCAAUGGAAGCCCAGAUAUAAGGAGGUCCAAGGUGAGUGUAUCUAACUUUUUUUUUUUAAGACACCAGAACCCAGUUUCUAAUCCUUCCAAGGUGGACAGAGACCAGUGGCUCUCCAGGAAUCCUCCAGGCCUUCAUCACAGGACUGCUGAGGAUCUACCGUCACGGACCUAGGCCAUAGGGGUUGUCAGCUUCUGCAGUGUGCAGCCACUGUUACAGACUACCCAAGCGUGUAUCAUGUGACCCCUGUGAAAGGAGUGUUUGCUCUCCAACCCACAGUUUAAGAGCUGCUGCUCUAGAAGAACCCAAAUACUGUUUGUCUGUACUCAUAAAAUAACUUAAUCAUGAAAUAAUUGACCAACUACUGCAGGAAGUCACAACGAAAGUCAUAUAUAUAUAUUGUUAGCCCUCGGGAAGCCAUACUGUGACUCCUCUCCAUUCCCUAAACUCACUGUGCUCCAAUCACUCCGAUGUCCAUAAAGUCACUCAACAUUUCCAAAUGUUUGUGAAACUAAAUCCUGUGUUAUUUCUACAGAUCCUUAAUAUGGAAAAGAAAGAGUACAUUCCUUGAAAGAAAUUAAGAUUUGCCUUGCCAAGUUCAAUGUUUUGCUCCCAGGAGGCAUUCAUCUAUUAGUCAUGUAGGGCCUCCUUCUCUUCACUGAACCCAAGUUACUUCUUCUGAGGCUCUUGUUCAUUCAUUUUAUUAAGACCGCUCAGAUUCCCAAGUGGUAAGGCAACCAAUGAAGCCUGGAACAUUUGUUCAGUCUGCUUGUCCUGUUCCACUCCACAAAUUUAUGGAGACACUUUAUACUAUAAUUUUAAGGAGAGAACAGCACAGAAAGUUUAGAAAGAAAAAGUUCUCAGGGAAAGCUAGGGAAAUCAAAUUAACUGGGCAGGUUUGGUUCUCACAAAAAUAUUGCCUUUGUCCGAGUUCUCUCUGGGGUCCACUCUACAAACAAGUCAAGUCUGUGAAGAAAAGUCCAGUGGAAUUCAGCCCCAGAGGAAGCUUGUUAAUUUUAAAAGUAAAAGAAAGAAUUUGAGAUUUCAGCAUUUUUUUUUUUUUUUUUUUAAAUCAUAAGUAGUGACUGUUUGGGUCCAUGAAGCUUUACAAUGGAAAAGACAUCAUGAAUUACAAACCACACUCAUCCUGUUGAUAGUGAAAUGGCAGCCCAAAGGCAUUGCUGGAUUGGCUUUAUGGUCACACACAUCCUUAUUAGUGGGUGGAGAAAGGAACUGAAGACUCCACAUCUGAGGACCAGUCUCUCUGUCCCAUCAUGACAGCUACCUUAGGCCACCAGGCAUUUUCAAGUAACAUCUUUUUAGAGUUCCACCUUUUUGACAGCCCAUGAGAACCCUGAGGAUCAGAACAUAACCACUCUCUACAGGAAACCAGGACAUGCUCCCCCAAUAAUUCUGGUGUAUUUUCAGAUGACUAUUCUAGGAAACUACAGACAUAAAAGCAGCUCUGGAAAGGCACCCUUUGUAAAAGAAUUUGCAUUUAGAAAAAGGUCUCAAUUAAGUACCUUGAAAAGAGUUGCUUGCCUUCACUACCUCCAGAAGCCCUAAGCCCAUAUUUCUUCACAUAGCUCAACAUGCUGUGUAAGGCUGAGUCACCAGCCCCUUUUUGAGUCUUAGAUUUUGUGGGAACCAUGUGUGCCACAUGUGUACAUAAUCAGAUGGUUUUUUCUCCUCUAAUCUAUCUUAUGUCAAUUUAAUUGUAACCAAGCUAAAGAACUCCCCCCCCCAAAAAAAAAAUAUAGUGACCGAGCCUGCUCAGUCAGGUAAUGUGAACCUCGGAGAGGGAGUGAGGAUUAAGAAAAGAAAAAGAUAAGAGACAGAGAUCAGUAGGUUCUUGGCAAAUGCUGAGACAAGUUUAUUUUCUCCUGUCAUCUCUUUAUACCAACAGCCCUUACAUAAGCUUUUUAUAGGAGGACAAUUAAUACAAUAAGUGAAGUCUAAGCCAAGAUGAAAAAUGCAGAUGUGUAUACAGAAAAUUAACCAACUUUCCUAUCGAACUUCCUUAUGACGCAUCUUAAAGUCUGUGGAGCGUUUCACUCUGAACUUUCUCAGGCAAUAAGAAUAGGUCAAGAAUCAAUCUUCCCAUGUGAAAAGGCAAGCCAUUAAUCAAGCCUUAAAUAACUCACAUAUUGCUUGAACAGCUUCCACUAGUAUAGGGAAAACCUUUCUUCAUUCUCUAUAACCUGAAACCUGAUAAAAAUGCUCUUUAUGGAUUGUGCUUAUCAUUACACUGUCAGUUUGCUGCAUUGCUUUCCCUAUAGAGACACAUAGAGAUAUUUGUUCAUUCCUGCUUUCACCUGUCUGACCUGUCUACGGUAGGUCUAUAAAACAAACUUUGACAAAGUGACUGUUGACUAUUGUCCUGUUGACAGAGUCUUUGGUGAUGGUCCUAUUUGGAGGCAGAUCCAAUACCCUUUGCCUAAGAAUCUAUACAGCCUCUGUAUUGAUUAAUUUGAUAAUAUAAUUAAUAUAAUAGAGAAGGCAUUAUUGUCCACCUUUUACCAGGCACUGGCUUAAGGAGCUGGAGACUUCUCUUUAUGGAAUUAGUUCUCUCUAAAACUCUGAGCCAUCAUACAAACCUGGCCAUUCAUGGUGAAUUUUUUUUUAAAGAUUUAAAAAAAAAGAUUAUCUAGAAAAGAUCGUCCUGAAUGAGGUAUCCCAGAAGCAGAAAAACACACAUGGUAUAUACUCACUUAUAAGUGGAUAUUAGGCAGAUAAUAUAGGAUAAUCAUAUUAAAAUCUGUACACCUAAAGAAGCUAAGCAAGAAGGAAGACUCCGGGUAAGAUGCUCAAUCUUCAUUCAGAAAGACAAACGGGAUAAGAUGGAAGAAGAAGAUAAGAUUGGAAGAAGAUGAAAACAAGGAACAAAACAGGAGACUGCAACAGAGAGCCUCUGAAAGACACUUCCCAGCAGGGUGUUAAAGCAGAUGCUGAGACUCAUAGCUAAACUUUGGGCAGAGUUCAGGGAAUCUUAUGAAAGAAGGGGAAGAUAGAAAGACCUGGAAGGGUCUGGAGCGCCACAAGGAGAACAACAGAACCAAAAAAAUCUGGGCCUAGGGGUCUUUCUGAGACUGAUAUUUCAACCAAAAACCAAUAAUUGAGAUAACCUAGAACCCCUGCACAGAGGUAGCACAUGGCAGCUCAGUCUCCAAAUGGGCUUCCUAGUAAGGGUACAGGAGCUGUCUCAGACAUGAAGUCAAUGGCUGGCUCUUUGAGCACCUCCCCUGAGGGGGGAGCAGCCUUACCAGGCCACAGAGAAAAACUAUGAAAGACAGUCCUGAUGAGACCUGGUAGGCUAGGGUCAGAUGAAGGGGAGGAAGUCUUCCACUAUCAGUGGACUGGGG
This is a long non-coding RNA of Meriones unguiculatus (Mongolian gerbil), 8909 nucleotides long. RefSeq lists it as uncharacterized. The record is from RefSeq and is a predicted model, not a curated record. Lineage: Eukaryota; Metazoa; Chordata; Mammalia; Rodentia; Muridae. The transcript has 3 exons.